RNAcentral lists this ribosomal RNA (254 nucleotides) under uncultured bacterium. RNAcentral describes it as "partial 16S ribosomal RNA". It matches the Rfam family "Bacterial small subunit ribosomal RNA", at positions 99 to 353 of the family's 1533-position model. The record is from RNAcentral.
CGCACGGUGAGUAACACGUAUCCAACCUGCCGAUGACUCGGGGAUAGCCUUUCGAAAGAAAGAUUAAUACCCGAUGGCAUAGUUCUUCCGCAUGGUAGAACUAUUAAAGAAUUUCGGUCAUCGAUGGGGAUGCGUUCCAUUAGGUUGUUGGCGGGGUAACGGCCCACCAAGCCUUCGAUGGAUAGGGGUUCUGAGAGGAAGGUCCCCCACAUUGGAACUGAGACACGGUCCAAACUCCUACGGGAGGCAGCAUG